AGUGAACGCUGGCGGUAGGUCUAACACAUGCAAGUCGAACGGCAGCACAGGAGAGCUUGCUCUCUGGGUGGCGAGUGGCGGACGGGUGAGGAAUACAUCGGAAUCUACUCUGUCGUGGGGGAUAACGUAGGGAAACUUACGCUAAUACCGCAUACGACCUACGGGUGAAAGCAGGGGACCUUCGGGCCUUGCGCGAUUGGAUGAGCCGAUGUCGGAUUAGCUAGUUGGCGGGGUAAAGGCCCACAAAGGCGACGAUCCGUAGCUGGUCUGAGAGGAUGAUCAGCCACACUGGAACUGAGACACGGUCCAGACUCCUACGGGAGGCAGCAGUGGGGAAUAUCGGACAAUGGGCGCAAGCCUGAUCCAGCCAUACCGCGUGGGUGAAGAAGGCCUUCGGGUUGUAAAGCCCUUUUGUUGGGAAAGAAAUCCAGCUGGCUAAUACCCGGUUGGGAUGACAGUACCCAAAGAAUAAGCACCGGCUAACUUCGUGCCAGCCGCCGCCGUAA
RNAcentral lists this ribosomal RNA (506 nucleotides) under uncultured bacterium. Its description in RNAcentral is "partial 16S ribosomal RNA". It matches the Rfam family "Bacterial small subunit ribosomal RNA", at positions 29 to 523 of the family's 1533-position model. The record is from RNAcentral.